AAGACGAUCCGGCACGUGCCGUUUUCUUUUCACAUAAUUCAGGUCAUUAACCUUGAAUAAUUGAGGGAUGACCUCAUUUAAUCUCCAGUAGCAAAUUUGACCUGUAAUGGGAGGAGUUAUGCGUCUGGAUCGUCUUAC
Molecule: small RNA, 138 nt
Filed under: Enterobacter mori
Lineage: Bacteria; Pseudomonadati; Pseudomonadota; Gammaproteobacteria; Enterobacterales; Enterobacteriaceae
Description: Yersinia sRNA 155(RyfD)
Rfam family: Yersinia sRNA 155(RyfD)
Source: RNAcentral